This 944-nucleotide ribosomal RNA is filed under the name Minettia loewi. Its description in RNAcentral is "eukaryotic LSU rRNA". It matches the Rfam family "Eukaryotic large subunit ribosomal RNA", at positions 128 to 938 of the family's 3401-position model. The record is from RNAcentral. Lineage: Eukaryota; Metazoa; Arthropoda; Insecta; Diptera; Lauxaniidae.
GAGAGAUGACAGAGAUGUUGGGAUGUAUGGACGUCUAUAAUCUAGUAUGAGAAUUAACGAUUUAAGUCCUUCUUAAAUGAGGCCAUUUACCCAUAGAGGGUGCCAGGCCCGUAUAACGUUAAUGAUUACUAGAAGAUGUUUCCAAAGAGUCGUGUUGCUUGAUAGUGCAGCACUAAGUGGGUGGUAAACUCCAUCUAAAACUAAAUAUAACCAUGAGACCGAUAGUAAACAAGUACCGUGAGGGAAAGUUGAAAAGAACUCUGAAUAGAGAGUUAAAUAGUACGUGAAACUGCUUAGAGGUUAAGCCCGAUGAACCUGAAUAUCCAUUAUGGAAAAUUCAUCAUUAUGUAUAUGAUAUUUAUAAUAUUGUAGAAAUAGUGUGCAUUUUUUCCAUAUAAGGACAUUGUAAUCUAUUAACAUAAUAUAUAUUUAUCAAAAGAUCAUUUGCUUAUGUUUAUUCAAAUUAAUUUGCUUGCAGGUUAACACAGAAUAAAUGCUUAUGAUUUGAUAAAGUGUUGAUAGAUUAAUAAUAUAUAGUGCUUCAAUACUUUUGUAUUUUACAAUGGCAUAAUUGUCUUAUGAUUUUUGUGUUUAUUGUAUGCGCUUAUAUGAUUAACAAUGCGAUAGAUUCAGGAUACCUUCGGGACCCGUCUUGAAACACGGACCAAGGAGUCUAACAUAUGUGCAAGUCAUUGGGAUUAUUUAUAUAAACCCAAAGGCGUAAUUAACUUAACUGUUUAAAUGGGAUUAGUUUUUAGUCUAUAUGUCUAUUAAUUCAAUCCCGGGGCGUUCUAUACAGUUAUGUAUAAUAAUAUUUAUAUUAUUUAUACCUCUAACUAGAGCGUACCUUGAGCAUAUAUGCUGUGACCCGAAAGAUGGUGGGUUCCCCCGUCCUCUUCUCUCUUCGCGUGUACUUAGUAUGGGGUAAUAGUGUUCUGGAACGA